GCUCCCGUAGUUCAAUGGAUAGAAUAAUGGUUUCCGGUACCAUCGAUAGGGGUUCGAAUCCCUUCGGGAGCACUA
Molecule: transfer RNA, 75 nt
Filed under: Dyadobacter sp. 50-39
Lineage: Bacteria; Pseudomonadati; Bacteroidota; Cytophagia; Cytophagales; Spirosomataceae
Description: tRNA-Arg
Rfam family: tRNA
About the family: Transfer RNA (tRNA) molecules are approximately 80 nucleotides in length. Their secondary structure includes four short double-helical elements and three loops (D, anti-codon, and T loops).
Source: RNAcentral